Molecule: ribosomal RNA, 220 nt
Filed under: Clostridioides difficile
Lineage: Bacteria; Bacillati; Bacillota; Clostridia; Peptostreptococcales; Peptostreptococcaceae
Description: partial 23S ribosomal RNA
Rfam family: Bacterial large subunit ribosomal RNA
Source: RNAcentral
GACAGUUCGGUCCCUAUCCGUCGCAGGCGUAGGAAAUUUGAGAAGACCUGUCCUUAGUACGAGAGGACCGGGAUGGACGUACCUCUGGUGUACCAGUUGUUCUGCCAAGGGCAUGGCUGGGUAGCUAUGUACGGAAUGGAUAAGCGCUGAAAGCAUCUAAGCGCGAAGCCAACUUCAAGAUAAGAUUUCCCACCGCAAGGGUAAGACCCCAGAAAGACUA